GACGAACCGAGCGAACGUUGUUCGGAAUCACUGGGCUUAAAGGGCGCGUAGGCGGGCUGCCAAGUCCGUGGUGAAAUCCCCCGGCUCAACCGGGGAAGGGCCUCGGAUACUGGCGGCCUCGAGGGGGGUAGGGGCGUGCGGAACUGUGGGUGGAGCGGUGAAAUGCGUUGAUAUCCACAGGAACUCCGGUGGCGAAGGCGGCACGCUGGACCCUCUCUGACGCUGAGGCGCGAAAGCCAGGGGAGCGAACGGG
RNAcentral lists this ribosomal RNA (253 nucleotides) under uncultured bacterium. Its description in RNAcentral is "partial 16S ribosomal RNA". It matches the Rfam family "Bacterial small subunit ribosomal RNA", at positions 524 to 776 of the family's 1533-position model. The record is from RNAcentral.